CAGUAGCCACGGUAAUACGAAGGGUGCAAGCGUUACUCGGAAUUACUGGGCGUAAAGCGUGCGUAGGUGGUGGUUUAAGUCCGUUGUGAAAGCCCUGGGCUCAACCUGGGAAUUGCAGUGGAUACUGGGUCACUAGAGUGUGGUAGAGGAUAGUGGAAUUUCCGGUGUAGCAGUGAAAUGCGUAGAGAUCGGAAGGAACAUCUGUGGCGAAGGCGACUAUCUGGGCCAACACUGACACUGAGGCACGAAAGCGUGGGGAGCAAACAGGAUUAGAUACCCCGGUAGUCCUUGUCUCUUAUAC
RNAcentral lists this ribosomal RNA (301 nucleotides) under uncultured bacterium. RNAcentral describes it as "partial 16S ribosomal RNA". It matches the Rfam family "Bacterial small subunit ribosomal RNA", at positions 509 to 807 of the family's 1533-position model. The record is from RNAcentral.